GAUAAACGCUGGCGGCGCACAUAAGACAUGCAAGUCGAACGGACUUAACCAUUAGUUUACUAUUGGAGCGGUUAGUGGCGGACUGGUGAGUAACACGUAAGCAACCUGCCUAUCAGAGGGGAACAACAGUUAGAAAUGACUGCUAAUACCGCAUAUGCCUAAGUAUCACAUGAUACAAUAGGGAAAGGAGCAAUCCGCUGAUAGAUGGGCUUGCGUCUGAUUAGAUAGUUGGUGGGGUAAAGGCCUACCAAGUCGACGAUCAGUAGCCGGACUGAGAGGUUGAACGGCCACAUUGGGACUGAGAUACGGCCCAG
RNAcentral lists this ribosomal RNA (314 nucleotides) under uncultured bacterium. Its description in RNAcentral is "bacterial SSU rRNA". It matches the Rfam family "Bacterial small subunit ribosomal RNA", at positions 28 to 334 of the family's 1533-position model. The record is from RNAcentral.